CUCUCUUCACAGCCUUUUGGCUAAGAUCAAGUGCAGUAUCUGUUCUUAUCAGUUUAAUAUCUGAUACAUUGUCUAGCCAAUGACAAUAUAUUAAAUGGAUCUUCGGCACUAGAAAAUGGAAUAGGAGCUGGCUUUGUCCAUUCUACGCAUCAACCCAGUAUUGCAGUACCUCCAGAAAUAGUGCACAAAAA
This is a small nuclear RNA of Suncus etruscus (white-toothed pygmy shrew), 191 nucleotides long. RefSeq annotates it as U2 spliceosomal RNA. The transcript has a single exon. Lineage: Eukaryota; Metazoa; Chordata; Mammalia; Eulipotyphla; Soricidae. The record is from RefSeq and is a predicted model, not a curated record.